Long non-coding RNA from Suricata suricatta (meerkat), 403 nucleotides. RefSeq lists it as uncharacterized. Lineage: Eukaryota; Metazoa; Chordata; Mammalia; Carnivora; Herpestidae. The transcript has 3 exons. The record is from RefSeq and is a predicted model, not a curated record.
AAGCAAAACGUCGCGAAAGGCGGAAAACUGUAUCUGUGGUAGUUGGCGUUAGUCACACAACGGUGUGUUUUAAGGGAGUAAAGAUUGAUAAAGUCUGAGAAGUAUGGAUAUGGAUGCUGUGAAGAAAGAAAAGCUAUAGCUCUAAGUGAAAAUGGCCUGGGGCCUAUGGAAGCUCCAUGCAGCAAGAACCUGAAGGUGAUCUCUAGAAGCUUAGAGUGGCCUCAAAUCAACAACUACCAAGAAAAAGGUUCCUAACCACACAACUCAAAAGAACUGAAUUCCCCUAACAACCAUGUGAGCUUGGAAGACACCCUUAAGCCUCAGGUGAGAUAAAGCCCCAGCCAACCCAGUGACAUCAGCCUGGUGAGAUGCUGAGCAGAGGACUGCAUUAACCCACAGAAAC